CUCAAUACAAGAAACGUAGAGCUUUCUCUAGGUCUGAUACCAGUAUACGCCUUGUCUGCACAAGUGAAUUUGGGUAAAAUUGUCAACAUGGGAAUUGUUAUAGGGAUCAUUAUUGAUGUGAUAGUGACAGCAGCAGCUGCAGCCGCAGAAGCUGCAGCUACAGCAGCAGCAGCAGCAGUUGCAGAAGCUGCAGCAGCUGCCACAGAAGCUGCAGCAGCUAUAGCAGAAGAAGCAGCUGCAGCAGCAGCAGAAGAAGUAGCAGCAGAAACAGCAGCAGAAGAAGCAACAGAGGGUGUUAUUGAAGGUGGAACAGAGGGCGUAGGAACCUUGGAGCAAGUUUUACGUUAUCUGGCCAAAUUUAGUAAAAUGAUAAAAGAGUUCUGUGCAAUUGAUGCUGUUUUCAGAGUUGCAAAAGCAAUUCUACACCGCCUCUCUUCUAAUUCUGGUGCACUUCAAACAUUGCAGAGACUGGAGAAGUCUCUAGAUUUGUUAUCAAAACUGCAGCACAAGAUGGAAGCAUUCCUGCAGUGGCUAGAGGACCAUAAGAAUGACACUGAGACACUUGCAGGAAUUGACGUCCCCUUGGAAUCAGGAAUUCUAGCCAGGUUCAUGAAACCGCUUUCAACUGCUCUGGGAAUCUUACAGACACUCACAACAGAAGUCAGCAACCAGAACCUGAAGAAUAAACCGAUGACAGACGCACAGCUUACAAUGUUUAACAGAUGCCUGAUUCGUGUUGUGACAACAUUUGAGUCAUUGGCCACAUUCAAGGAGGAAAAGAGUAAGAUAUUGCCUGUGCUGACAUCACUUCCAAUCAGCAUGGAUGAAGUGAAUGAAUGGAAGGAUGACCUUGGCUGGAAAGAGGGUGGCAAUAUUCAGUCUCUUUUAGAAUAUCCUAUAUACCAAUAUCGUGCCCAUUAAAUAAGCAAUAUUUAGCAGAGCAACACAACAUCAUGAUUUUUCUGUAUGACUAAAUGCCUACAUUGUUGUACCCUAGCCUAUGGCAAUGGCUGAAAGUGCCAUAUUCUUUUUAUGUUGCAAUUCUCCAUUAAUAGUACCACCACUUUACUCUUGAUUAAGUGUCUUCACUUAGAAAGUUCCUAACACAUGGGAACGUGUAACACACACACAACUUUACUUAACCUAUCACUGUUCCUAGAAAAUGUUGUUCUAUUGCCUAAUGUGUUGCUAUGAUUCCAUAAGUAAAGCAUGUUAAUUUUUUUUUCCUUUCCCUGUUAACAUUCAGACAAUUUAUAACACCUUAAAAUGUAAUCUCUACCACAAAUAUGGCAGCUCCAUAAAAAUAGAAGAGCCAAACGAUACAUCAGGAUGUGACGUGUGCUCACUGCAGGAAAAACCAUGUGAACUACAAGAGAAGUUUCAAUUCAGGAAGGGAAACCUCCAAAUGUCAAUCACGUCACUCUUUGUGGAACUGAUCAAAAUACUAAUUAAGUAAUCAACACAUAGCAAGUUGGUACUUUAAAAUAACUAGCCGUAACGAGGCACAAUCAUAGCCACCGUUAACUGCAAUUCUAAUAGGCGUGCUUCAAUCCGUGUUUUCAGUCCGCUCCAGCUUCAAACUGAUCUCAUGUAAGUCACCUUUAAUUAGGAAUAGAUAGAAAAUAAAAGGAAGACAGCAACCUGUUUCCACCCCUGAAUGACUCAUCUUAAAAUAAACUAUAGACAGAAAGUCAACCUUACAGAUCGGGCUCCCAGAUUCUGUACAUAGGCUUUUUUUAUGAUUCCUUUGCCUUCCUGUGUGCAUUGCACUUAGGCAAAAACAAAAACUUAGAGAAAUAUAAUUUUAAAAACAAACAAAUACUUUUUUGUUUACUGUCCAGGUGACAACGAUGUUUUAAUCAGCCUCUAUCAGCGUGUCUGUACUGGCUUUUCUGUGACCUGCUGUACUGUACGUAGCAGGUGGGACAAAGUCAGUGCUGCAUUGUUUUGAUUUAGGUUGCUAAAAUCUAGCCACAUUUUUAAAAUUUGAGCGCUAGAUGUAAAAUAAGCAAAGCAAAACAAGCAAAGUAUAUUUCGGCUGAGGAUCAUGUCAAGACAUUUCCCAAAGAACCUGUACAUGCAGAUGGAUGUAAUUGUUUUGCACAUCUUGUAAUGUGACUUAAAGAAAAUACGAUUGAUCGCUAGAACUUCAGAAUCCCACAUAAACAAAAGGCUACUACAGAGGCUGCUGAACAGAACAUAAAACAAACGAGAAGACGUCAGAACAUUUUGAUUGCUGAGUGCCGGCACUCUGCUACAGGAAGUGCCGUGAGUGCCGACACUCUGCUACAGGAAGUGCCUGGGUGGCCUGCGGUGUCCUGGGACACUGCCGUGAGUGUCCUGCAUAGGAUUGUAUUGUACUUUGUGAGUGGCCUGCAGUGUCCUGUACUGCGUGAAACUCACAGUAUUAAUUAUUGUUGUUGUUAUGAUUAAUAUUAAUAAUUCCGCAUGGAAUUCUUUGGGGUGGUAGGCCUAUAUCGUCAGACUUUAACGUGAUAAUUAUAAUUUGCUUCUGGCUCGUACUACGUGCUGCCUGAGACACUGUGGUGAGUGUCCUGCAUAGGAUACUAUUACACUGCGUAAGUGGCCUGCAUAGGAUUGUAUUGUACUUUGUGAGUGUCCUGUACUGCAUGAAACUCACGGUAUUAAUUAUUAUUGUUGUUGUUAUGAUUAAUAUUAAUAAUUACGUAUGGAAUUCUUUGGGGUGGUAGGCCUAUAUCGUCAGACUUUAACGUGAUAAUUAUAAUUUGCUUCUGGCUCGUACUACGUGCUGCCUGAGACACUGUGGUGAGUGUCCUGCAUAGGAUACUAUUACACUGCGUAAGUGGCCUGCAUAGGAUUGUAUUGUACUUUGUGAGUGUCCUGUACUGCAUGAAACUCACGGUAUUAAUUAUUAUUGUUGUUGUUAUGAUUAAUAUUAAUAAUUACGUAUGGAAUUCUUUGGGGUGGUAGGCCUAUAUCGUCAGACUUUAACGUGAUAAUUAUAAUUUGCUUCUGGCUCGUACUACGUGCUGCCUGAGACACUGUGGUGAGUGUCCUGCAUAGGAUACUAUUACAGUGCGUAAGUGGCCUGCAUAGGAUUGUAUUGUACUUUGUGAGUGGACUGCGGAGUCCUAGGACACUGCCUUAAGUGUCCUGUGUGCUAAACAGGCUGUUGAUAGUGUGACAAACAUCCCUGUUCUCUGCAGAGCAA
This is a long non-coding RNA of Acipenser ruthenus (sterlet), 3193 nucleotides long. RefSeq lists it as uncharacterized. NCBI's taxonomy places the organism in Eukaryota, Metazoa, Chordata, Actinopteri, Acipenseriformes, Acipenseridae. The record is from RefSeq and is a predicted model, not a curated record. The transcript is spliced from 3 exons.